This 138-nucleotide ribosomal RNA is filed under the name uncultured bacterium. Its description in RNAcentral is "partial 16S ribosomal RNA". It matches the Rfam family "Bacterial small subunit ribosomal RNA", at positions 355 to 509 of the family's 1533-position model. The record is from RNAcentral.
UGGGGGAUAUUGCACAAUGGGGGAAACCCUGAUGCAGCGACGCCGCGUGGGUGAAGAAGCGCCUCGGCGCGUAAAGCCCUGUUCAGCAGGGAAGAAAAUGACGGUACCUGAAGAAGAAGCCCCGGCUAACUACGUGCC